ACUUUAAAAAUAAACAUAAAAAUAUUAGACUUCCACUAAGAUCAAAGAUUAUUACCACACUUCUCAGCAGUGUUUACUCAUUAAAAUAAAAGCACAUUAAAAACAAAACAUUAUAAUGCAAUUGGAA
Sphaeramia orbicularis (orbiculate cardinalfish) is the source of this 127-nucleotide long non-coding RNA. RefSeq lists it as uncharacterized. NCBI's taxonomy places the organism in Eukaryota, Metazoa, Chordata, Actinopteri, Kurtiformes, Apogonidae. The transcript has 3 exons. The record is from RefSeq and is a predicted model, not a curated record.